RNAcentral lists this transfer RNA (79 nucleotides) under Capnocytophaga sputigena ATCC 33612. Its description in RNAcentral is "tRNA-Ala". It matches the Rfam family "tRNA". From Rfam's summary of the family: Transfer RNA (tRNA) molecules are approximately 80 nucleotides in length. Lineage: Bacteria; Pseudomonadati; Bacteroidota; Flavobacteriia; Flavobacteriales; Flavobacteriaceae. The record is from RNAcentral.
UGGGGAUGUAGCUCAGUUGGCUAGAGCGUUUGGCUGGCAGCCAAAAGGUCGUGGGUUCGAGCCCCAUCUUCUCCACAAA